CAGUUCAUAAGAUGGACGGAGAGAGGGUCUGGUUAGGCAUCACAUGGAGCUGGACAUAAAAUAAAAACCCUUCUUCACCCUGACAAACAUGUCCAUAUCAUGUUUUUCCUAUAAAUUUCAAAGAAGUUUUGUCCCCUCCACCCUACACAAAUUACCCUAAAUCUUGUUUUGUUUAAGAAGUGUGUAGACAAGGGAGCUUAUCUUUUCAGAGAAUUGCCUUGACUCCCAAAUCCAACACUGCCAGUCAUUGCGCUCUUACCUUUUAAGCUGAAAAUAUAUGAAGGGUUUCUUUUGCAAUAGAUAUUUUGUUCAUUUUUAG
Molecule: long non-coding RNA, 319 nt
Filed under: Gossypium barbadense (sea-island cotton)
Lineage: Eukaryota; Viridiplantae; Streptophyta; Magnoliopsida; Malvales; Malvaceae
Description: long non-coding RNA (GBAR_LNC011973)
Source: RNAcentral